AGUGAACGCUGGCGGCGUGCUUAACACAUGCAAGUCGAACGAGAACGGGCUAUAGCUUGCUAUAGUUGUCAGCUAAGUGGCGCACGGGUGAGUAAUGUAUAGGUAAUAUGCCUCUUACUAAGGGAUAACAAAUGGAAACGUUUGCUAAUACCUUAUACUCCUUAUUAACAGAAGUUAAUAAGGGAAAGAUUUAUUGGUAAGAGAUUAGCCUGUAUUGUAUCAGUUAGUUGGUGGGGUAAUGGCUUACCAAGACUAUGACACAUAACUGGUUUGAGAGGAUGAUCAGUCACACUGGAACUGAGACACGGCCCAGACUCCUACGGGAGGCAGCAGUUAGGAAUAUUCCACAAUGGGCGAAAGCCUGAUGGAGCGACACCGCGUGAAGGAUGAAGUCUUUCGGGAUGUAAACUUCUUUUAUAUGGGAAGAUUAUGACGGUACCAUAUGAAUAAGGACCGGCUAACUACGUGCCAGCCGCCGCAGUAA
Molecule: ribosomal RNA, 484 nt
Filed under: uncultured bacterium
Lineage: Bacteria
Description: partial 16S ribosomal RNA
Rfam family: Bacterial small subunit ribosomal RNA
Source: RNAcentral